CACAGCAGAGGAGCUGGCCCUGGAGUUGAAUAAAGGGAAGCCAGUGAUGGAAGGGACACAGUGAGGGAUAGCCACUGACUCUGGCCCAGCAAGAGAGACUGGCCUCUUCAUACAAGAUAUGGGCCUGCAAGUAGCUGUAAUCCUGCAUGAUGAGCGACCAUGUGUAUUGCAGCAUUGUACCAUUUCUUUGCAGGUUUGAUUGCACGUCCAGGGGUUUCCAAUGAUCCUAAUUGAAGCCUAACAAACAAAGUAACUGACUCCACUUCUGGUCUGCUCCGUUUUGUUAUAGUUUUGUCUGGAAUUCAUCUAGGUCCAUCUGUUAUAUAUUGUUUUGUAUUUGUUUUGCGGAUUUAGGUGGGAGGGGUUGGCCAUGGUACCUUGUACUGCUUGUCCACAUGGAGUGUUGUGUAUAAUACUUGGUUUUUCACAAGAGUGUCUGUGUCAAGGGUAUUGAGUGUGGGGUAGAAAUCUGAGGGUCUUUGCUGGUCACCUCCCUCUUUAUUUUGUUAUCUUAUUGUAUUGUACUUGUGUUGUAAGUUACUGGUAUAGAUGUAUGAUGUAUUGAGACCUUGUGUGACGUGUUGUAUCUGUUUUAUAAACUGUUAAUAAAGUGAUUUUUGUUUUAUAUUUGUUUAUCUUUUUGCUCACCCUGCCUUUGGCACGAACCUGUGUCCCUUUGCUUAGGACUGUUAUGUCCCGGUGUAUUCCGGGUGGCAUAGUCGACUAGGAUUUCUCUUAUUAUUGGUAACUCUCACAAACUCCCGACUGCUCCUUUGCCACAUGCCUCAUCUUAUUCGUUUUUGUUAAUAAACAUUUUGUAAGCUAGUUUGUCAUUGUAUCUUGUUUUAAUGUUGUUGUGCUUUUUAAUAAAAAAUAAAAAUGAAUUCAUCUGUUCUAGUCUUAAAAAGUGGAAGGUGUAUAGAUGUAGCCUAAGCAAAACAGAAAAUUAUCUUUUAUUGUAAAAAAAAAAAAAAAAGUUACAAGAUCGCAAAAGCAUCUGAAGCUGGGUUUAUAACACAGCAAAAGUGGGACUCCCGUUCACAAAAUUCAAAUAACAAAUAAUACUACUGAUGAAAUAAAACUGGUUGAAUGUUAACCACUUGUUUCCAUAUAGGCCUAACUAU
Cyprinus carpio (common carp) is the source of this 1124-nucleotide long non-coding RNA. RefSeq lists it as uncharacterized. The transcript has 3 exons. Lineage: Eukaryota; Metazoa; Chordata; Actinopteri; Cypriniformes; Cyprinidae. The record is from RefSeq and is a predicted model, not a curated record.